UAGAAUGAAAAUCCGUUGGUUUCACGGGACCGUGAGGGUUCGAAUCCCUCUAUCCCCAGC
RNAcentral lists this transfer RNA (60 nucleotides) under Lepidomicrosorium superficiale. RNAcentral describes it as "partial tRNA-Leu". RNAcentral also lists the same sequence under 4 other names. The record is from RNAcentral. Lineage: Eukaryota; Viridiplantae; Streptophyta; Polypodiopsida; Polypodiales; Polypodiaceae.